This 301-nucleotide ribosomal RNA is filed under the name uncultured bacterium. RNAcentral's name for it is "partial 16S ribosomal RNA". It matches the Rfam family "Bacterial small subunit ribosomal RNA", at positions 509 to 809 of the family's 1533-position model. The record is from RNAcentral.
CAGUCGCCGCGGUAAUACAGAGGGUGCGAGCGUUAAUCGGAUUUACUGGGCGUAAAGCGUGCGUAGGCGGCUUCUUAAGUCGGAUGUGAAAUCCCUGAGCUUAACUUAGGAAUUGCAUUCGAUACUGGGAAGCUAGAGUAUGGGAGAGGAUGGUAGAAUUCCAGGUGUAGCGGUGAAAUGCGUAGAGAUCUGGAGGAAUACCGAUGGCGAAGGCAGCCAUCUGGCCUAAUACUGACGCUGAGGUACGAAAGCAUGGGGAGCAAACAGGAUUAGAUACCCCAGUAGUCCCUGUCUCUUAUAU